GACGUAGGGUGCAAGCGUUGUCCGGAUUUACGGGGCGUAAAGAGCGCGUAGGCGGCUCGUUAAGUGAGAAGUGAAAGCUCUGGGCUCAACCCAGAAACCGCUUUUCAUACUGGCAAGCUGGAGUGAUGCAGAGGUGGAUAGAAUUCCCGGUGUAGCGGUGAAAUGCGUUGAUAUCGGGAGGAAUACCCGUGGCGAAGGCGGUCCACUGGGCAUCAACUGACGCUGAGGCGCGAAAGCGUGGGUAGCAAACAGG
This 253-nucleotide ribosomal RNA is filed under the name uncultured bacterium. Its description in RNAcentral is "partial 16S ribosomal RNA". It matches the Rfam family "Bacterial small subunit ribosomal RNA", at positions 524 to 776 of the family's 1533-position model. The record is from RNAcentral.